Callorhinus ursinus (northern fur seal) is the source of this 91-nucleotide non-coding RNA. Lineage: Eukaryota; Metazoa; Chordata; Mammalia; Carnivora; Otariidae. The record is from RefSeq and is a predicted model, not a curated record.
GAGCACAAGCUAGGAGGAUUUGGAGUCCUGAGCCACCAAAAAGAUCUGUGGUUGCGUAUCAGGUACUCCCACCAAAAUUAGAGGUUAAUGC